UGCCUGUCUUGCCAGCUGGGAGUGGGGGGACACCUUCAGCCACGGCCCCCCGUGUCUUUUCUAGGGUCCACGAGGGCCACCUGGUCCCCCAGGGCCACCUGGCGUGCCCGGUUUGCCAGGGGAGCCAGGGCGUUUUGGGAUGAACUGCACAGACCUGCCAGGACCACCUGGACUGCCGGGCAGGGACGGGAUCCCUGGGCCCCCGGGGCCAGUGGUAGGUCUGUGGGGUGGCCAAGGAGACUCAUCCCCCAUCCCAGGGCCACUCUGUGGCCAUGGGGGGCUUGGUGCCCACCAGCCCUCCGGGGUUUUCCUGGGCUGGAACCAACUCCUGGGAUCUUACAGGGUCCUCAGGGUCCUCCAGGAAGAGAUGGGGAGGUUGGGCAGUCGGGGCCCAAAGGAGAGCAGGGAGAUAUGGGUGACCUUGGCCUCCCUGGCCUACCAGGACCCAAGGGCAACAAAGGAGAAAUGGGACCAGCAGGACCCCCGGGAGAAAUGGGCUUAGCUGGCCUUCCUGGGCCCAUCGGACCCCAAGGGCAGCCAGGACCCCCUGGCCCCCCAGGACCACCAGGGCCAGGCUACGAGGCUGGAUUUGUGAGUGGUCACUGCAGUGAUGGGAUGGGAUGAGCUGGAGCCAGGC
This 637-nucleotide long non-coding RNA is filed under the name Lonchura striata (white-rumped munia). Its description in RNAcentral is "domestica (Bengalese finch) lncRNA (ENSLSDG00000009582.1)". The record is from RNAcentral. Lineage: Eukaryota; Metazoa; Chordata; Aves; Passeriformes; Estrildidae.